Podarcis raffonei (Aeolian wall lizard) is the source of this 3003-nucleotide long non-coding RNA. RefSeq lists it as uncharacterized. The transcript is spliced from 3 exons. NCBI's taxonomy places the organism in Eukaryota, Metazoa, Chordata, Lepidosauria, Squamata, Lacertidae. The record is from RefSeq and is a predicted model, not a curated record.
CUUUUAGUAAGAAGUGAGCAUUUCAAUGCUUAUUAGUAAUGAUGAGAUAUCUGUUAAGCCAUCUUUGCCCUGUCCGCCUCUUCUGCACUUUCUCUCACUUUGGAGCAUAAGUAGGUGGCUGGAGUUGCUGUGCUUAAUAACAAUAACGGCUCUUUAUGGAAGAAUGUCUAAGGACUGCACUGUCAAAGCAUUAGGAGCCUGUCUUAUACCAAAACAGACUGUCUAGUUCAGUGUUGCUUACACCAGAGGUAACCAGUCUGGUGCCCUCCAUAUAUUGUUGCCCUCUCAAUACCCUGCUGCCUUCCUCUGCUUCCCUAUAGCAUCUGUUGCCUGAGGCAGCUGCUUCACUCUGUCUAAUGGAGCCAGUCCUGAGUAAGUCCAGAGUUCAGUGAGGCUUACACUGCAGCAGAUUCUGCAGUCUGCACAGGCUGGGUGAGCUGCUGGUCUCCUGCUGCCAUGCCAUUAAGAUCCAUCCCCUGGUGUGUGAGGCUGUCCCAUACAGGGAUAGAACCUGCAACCUUGGUUUUCAGACUGGACUAUUUCCCUGCCCUACUUGGAGAAGCUGGGGAUUGAACCUGGGACAUUCUGCAUGCAAAGCAUAUCUUCUGCCACUGAGCCACGGCACAUGCCUGAAUUUUAGAAUGCAAGGGGUUUUCGUGACUGCUUUCUACAGCAGCUGUAUCCACCGAGAGGAGCAGCAUAGAGAAGCAGCAGCCACAGAAGCCAGGAGAAGAGAAGAGGAGAGGCUCACAAAAUGAUGCACGCAUACAUUUUCAGUAAAGCUUUCAUCCUUCAGAAAAAGACCCCCCUGGUUCCCUGUCGGGCUCCAUAGCUCUUUAACAAUCCCUUCACAUCAAAGGUUUCCACAAUUGUUAAGAGAUGUGCCUCUUUCCCCAGAAUAUUUCCGAGCCCUUGUUAAAUUCAAGCUGUUAUCUGUUGCUGUUUGAAUGCACUCUUCUGCUCACUUUCCAUGGCAGGUUAUGAUCAGUUUUCAUCUUCUUUUGAAGACAGAUAACCUGAUCUGUCACUUUCAGAGUUGCAAAUGGGGAAAAUUUGCAUUGAUUGAUCCCAGAAAUGACAACCCCAGAUGGGAAGAGGACUCUCUUGAUCAGAUCAAGCUGCCAUCAGGCUACAAUAAAAAAUAUUUUAAAAAUGUUUUAAAGCAGGCAGAACCGCUUGCAAUGUUGUAUUUGAUGAGAGAAAUUUACUGUCUCAGACCUCACUGAGUGGGGUCACAUAAGCAUAAUUACAAGAGAAAUGCUACAAUUAUUGCCUGAAGCAAACCAAGCUCAGUUGAAGACCCAUGAGGAAACUGCAGCGAUGCUCACGUUGGGCAUACAAUAAGGUGAUAUUGCCCUUAGUUCAGUGACUCUGUGCCAUUCCAACCAGGCUUGGGGACCUGGGCAGCAAUGGGUCUAGGGCCCAAACCCCCAGAUCCUGGGCAUGCCUGGACAUGGACAACCGUAGAGUUAUGUAUAUAGUGCAAGAGGGUUGGUUGUAGUGAAAACAGCUGUCCAGAGACACCUGCUGUUCAGCAAUCCCUGAAACCUAGUGGGCAUGUCCCCAUGAUGGAGAAGCCCGCUACACACUUCUAGGACAGCCUGAGAGGGCUGUGAACAAGCCUGCCAUCAUGGAUGCUUCCUGGUGAGGUUAUAACCCCUGCAUGUGCCUGGCAACAGGAAGAGGAUGUCAUCAUUUGCCAUCAGGCCCUAGAGGAGGAGGAGGAGGGGGAGUUUGGAUUUGAUAUCCCGCUUUAUCACUACCCAAAGGAUUCUCAAAGCGACUAAUGUUCUCCUUUCCAUUCCUCCCCCACAACAAACACUCUGUGAGGUGAGUGAGACGGAGAGACUUCAGAGAAGUGUGACUAGCCCAAGGUCACCCAGCAGCUGCAUGUGGAGGAGAGGAGACGCGAACCCGGUUCACCAGAUUACGAGUCUACUGCUCUUAACCACUAUACCAUACUGGCUCUGUACACAGAGACUGUAGGAUCUCCUGUCAGGCUGACGGUCCACAGUCCACACCUCAUGACCAUAGUUUAGUGGUAGAAUCCCUACUUCGCAGGCAGAAGGUUCUAGGUUCAAUCUCCUCCACCUCCAGAUUGGCUUGGGGAAAGCUUCUGUCCGAAACUUUGGAAAGCCACUGCCAGUCAGUGUAGAUUAUAUUGAGCUAAGGGGACCAGUGUGGUCUGACUGAGUAUAAGGCAGCUUCCUAUGCAAAACUUCUCUUGAACCUGCUGGGGAGCUCCAGAGGAUGAAUAUAGAUGCUGGGGAGAAGGUUUGAGCCACUAUGGCUUGGAGGUGCCAUGAGAGCAUCACUGCUCAGCGCUCAGAAAUUGACUUGCCUAUGGGAGCAUAAGCCCAGGGCUUGUUGUGGGGCGCUAUCCGUGACCUAUGCACCCACCCCCUGACUCCAUGCUUAGGGAGUUGGACUAUUCAGGGGAGGAGAGGGUAGACAUAAUUUGGCAUUGCUGACUCCAUGCCACAGUGGUAUGGCCAGGUGACUGGUGCCUCUUCACCCUUGCCUGAGAUUCCAUGACACCUGGAGCUGCAUGGUCCAUCUCUUCCCAUCCUAUCCCUGUCGUCCUCCUCACCAGACCUGAUCAGCAGAUCCCCAGAGUCUGUGCCACACAGACCCCCUUCCCCAGCAGCAACACCAUGGCUGGGUGGAGGCAGCUUGGAGGGAGAGGAGUCAAAUGUGAAGAGGAGCUGUGGCAGCCCAUGCCACCAACUCCAGCACCACUGCAGCAAACAGCCACCUGGGCGCUCAUGCUUCAGCCUCCCCACCCCCAUGGGUGUGAGAGGGGUACUGCCAAGCCUGUCCACUCCACCUUAGACCCCUUAGCUGAUGUAGUUCUGUGUGUUGCCCUCCAUGCAUCUGGACUGUGGUUCUUGCAAGAUGGAAGUGCCCAGGAGUGUUUGGGCUACAGAGCCAACAGACUGGAGUGCUUCUCCUGUGUGUGAGAGACAUUGCCCACUGCUGUUGGGGGGAAAAAAUAGGAGUGUU